This 507-nucleotide ribosomal RNA is filed under the name uncultured Glomeromycotina. RNAcentral describes it as "SSU rRNA". It matches the Rfam family "Eukaryotic small subunit ribosomal RNA", at positions 569 to 1077 of the family's 1831-position model. Lineage: Eukaryota; Fungi; Glomeromycota. The record is from RNAcentral.
AGCAGCCGCGGUAAUUCCAGCUCCAAUAGCGUAUAUUAAAGUUGUUGCAGUUAAAAAGCUCGUAGUUGAAUUUCGGGGUUAGUAGGCUGGUCAUGCCUCUGGUAUGUACUGGUCUCACUGAUUCCUCCUUCCUGAUGAACCUUAAUGCCAUUAAUUUGGUGUUUUGGGGAAUUUGGACUGUUACUUUGAAAAAAUUAGAGUGUUUAAAGCAAGCUAACGCUUGAAUACAUUAGCAUGGAAUAAUGAAAUAGGACGUUCGAUCCUAUUUUGUUGGUUUCUAGGAUUGACGUAAUGAUUAAUAGGGAUAGUUGGGGGCAUUAGUAUUCAAUUGUCAGAGGUGAAAUUCUUGGAUUUAUUGAAGACUAACUACUGCGAAAGCAUUUGCCAAGGAUGUUUUCAUUAAUCAAGAACGAAAGUUAGGGGAUCGAAGACGAUCAGAUACCGUCGUAGUCUUAACCAUAAACUAUGCCGACUAGGGAUCGGAUGAUGUUAAUUUUUUAAUGACUC